RNAcentral lists this long non-coding RNA (893 nucleotides) under Helianthus annuus (common sunflower). Its description in RNAcentral is "sRNA HanXRQr2_Chr09g0368091". Lineage: Eukaryota; Viridiplantae; Streptophyta; Magnoliopsida; Asterales; Asteraceae. The record is from RNAcentral.
CACAGAAUUGCAAGGGAGAGAGCGGCAGACACGCAAUUGAAAACCCUAGCUCCACGUUCCACCGCCUCGACACCGCACUGUUGUGUUACCGUCACCGUCAAUGUUUCAACUUCAACGGUGGCAGCGGCAAGAAGGGAUUUGAGGGUUGGACACUGAUUUUGGUUUUCUCCUAGCGCAAACCCUCAUCAAUACAUCAAAUCUGAGAGAGGGAGAGAGAGAAAUAGACGAAGAUGAGAGAGGAAGAGAGAGAGAGAGUGGAAUCGGAAUUGGUCUUCCGGCUAUAGGGUUUGGAUUAUGAGUUACGGACUAACCUUCGUCGUCUCAACUCUCAGAGACCAGGUGUUCUAUAAAAUACCAAUGAGAUGAAUUGAUAUGGUUUUGUCUUGAAACACUUGGGUAUCCAGUUAUGGAAGCUAAGAAUAGUCAUUGACUGCAAUUUGCAAGUGGUUGUCGACUCUGGUCGGAGGAGCCGGAUUUGAAAAGGUUGCAGCUUACAUUGUCUCUUCUGAAGCAAUGGCGGAGACAAAUGAGUGCUUAAUUUGGUCGAUUUUGUAUACAGAUGAAGGUUUAUACAUGUGCAAGUGAAUGUGUAUUGGCUAAAUACAUUUCGUUCUCUAAUGCAAAACUUCCAGCAACAUCGGCUACAGUGAAGCUAAUGCCGUCUACUGGCUAUACGAAGUCGACCCAACAAUCAUCAAGGCUCUAGCGAAUUCCAAAAGGCGGUUCUCCAUUUACAAUAAAUAAAAAUAUUAUCCUAGACGAGAGUUUAGCCUAAUCAGUGAGUAAAUCGAUACUAUAUAAGGGUAUAAGACCAUACCCUUGCUGCCAUUAUUUAUUUUUAUCAUAUUUUUGUCACUUGCAUACAUAAUACACCUUAUGGAUAAAUUUUUGUU